AAUGUUGUAAAAUAUAUUGUUCAUUGUUAGUUCAUAUUAGCUAAGGCAUUACCAAAUGUUAAGGAAUAAACUCUUAUAGUAAAGUGUUACUAAAUUUUCUUUUACCAUUUCCUUCACAAUGUCUAUUUAUUUCUAUGGCUAACAGAUUUUGUAACAUUUGUCUUUUUUACAGUCUUACCAUUGCUUGUAAGCUGGAUUGGGUAAGAUGGAUCAUCUUUAAAGGCACCAGGAGUUAAGGCAGAUGUGGAGGCACAACGGGUGAUACCAGACACACACCAAGCACAUUAUGUUCGGACAUUCAAUCAUGACAGGAUCCAGGUGGAUGCUGUCCAUUGAUGAAAGCGUUUGUUC
This is a long non-coding RNA of Paramisgurnus dabryanus, 351 nucleotides long. RefSeq lists it as uncharacterized. The record is from RefSeq and is a predicted model, not a curated record. NCBI's taxonomy places the organism in Eukaryota, Metazoa, Chordata, Actinopteri, Cypriniformes, Cobitidae.